GACGAACGCUGGCGGCGCGCUUAACACAUGCCAGUCGAACGGAAAGGCCUGCUUUCCCUUGUGGAUUGCGGGUACUCGAGUGGCGAACGGGUGGGUAACACGUGAGUGAUCUGCCCCCAACUUGGGUAUAAGCCUGGGAAACUGGGUCUAAUUCCCGAUAGGACUGCAGGGUGGUGCCUGUGGUGGAAAACGAUUUUCUAGUGGUUGGGGAUGAGCUCGCGGCCUAUCAGCUUGUUGGUGGGGUAAUGGCCUACCAAGGCGGCGACGGGUAGCCGGCCUGAGAGGGUGGACGGCCACAUUGGGACUGAGAUACGGCCCAGACUCCUACGGGAGGCAGCAGUGGGGAAUAUUGCACAAUGGGCGGAAGCCUGAUGCAGCGACGCCGCGUGGGGGAUGACGGCCUUCGGGUUGUAAACUCCUUUCGACCGCGAGGAAGCCACCUGGUUGGAAGGGUGGUGACGGUAGUGGUAGAAGAAGCACCGGCUAACUACGUG
Molecule: ribosomal RNA, 494 nt
Filed under: uncultured bacterium
Lineage: Bacteria
Description: partial 16S ribosomal RNA
Rfam family: Bacterial small subunit ribosomal RNA
Source: RNAcentral